This 72-nucleotide transfer RNA is filed under the name Papilio machaon (common yellow swallowtail). It matches the Rfam family "tRNA". From Rfam's summary of the family: Transfer RNA (tRNA) molecules are approximately 80 nucleotides in length. Their secondary structure includes four short double-helical elements and three loops (D, anti-codon, and T loops). Lineage: Eukaryota; Metazoa; Arthropoda; Insecta; Lepidoptera; Papilionidae. The record is from Rfam by way of RNAcentral.
UCCGGUAUGGUCUAGUGGCUAGGAUACCUGGCUCUCACCCAGGAGGCUCGGGUUUGAUUCCCGGUACCGGAA